This 500-nucleotide ribosomal RNA is filed under the name uncultured bacterium. Its description in RNAcentral is "partial 16S ribosomal RNA". It matches the Rfam family "Bacterial small subunit ribosomal RNA", at positions 899 to 1397 of the family's 1533-position model. The record is from RNAcentral.
ACUCAAAGGAAUUGACGGGGACCCGCACAAGCGGUGGAACAUGUGGUUUAAUUCGAGGCAACGCGAAGAACCUUACCAAGACUUGACAUGCCCUCUAUGAGCUCCCGAAAAGGAGCUCUUCACUUCGGGUGGGAGGUGCACAGGUGCUGCAUGGCUGUCGUCAGCUCGUGUCGUGAGAUGUUGGGUUAAGUCCCGCAACGAGCGCAACCCUCAUUCUCUGUUGCUACCAUUUAGUUGAGCACUCUGAGAAAACUGCCGGUGAUAAGCCGGAGGAAGGUGGGGAUGACGUCAAGUCCUCAUGGCCCUUACGUCUUGGGCUACACACGUGUUACAAUGGCGAUGACAAUGGGUCGCUAACUCGCAAGAGUAUGCCAAUCUCAAAAAGUCGCCUCAGUUCGGAUUGUACUCUGCAACUCGAGUACAUGAAGUUGGAAUCGCUAGUAAUCGCGGAUCAGCACGCCGCGGUGAAUACGUUCCCGGGUCUUGUACACACCGCCCGU